Molecule: ribosomal RNA, 171 nt
Filed under: Helicobacter pylori
Lineage: Bacteria; Pseudomonadati; Campylobacterota; Epsilonproteobacteria; Campylobacterales; Helicobacteraceae
Description: partial 23S ribosomal RNA
Rfam family: Bacterial large subunit ribosomal RNA
Source: RNAcentral
CGGCGGCCGUAACUAUAACGGUCCUAAGGUAGCGAAAUUCCUUGUCGGUUAAAUACCGACCUGCAUGAAUGGCGUAACGAGAUGGGAGCUGUCUCAACCAGAGAUUCAGUGAAAUUGUAGUGGAGGUGAAAAUUCCUCCUACCCGCGGCAAGACGGAAAGACCCCGUGGAC